Molecule: ribosomal RNA, 393 nt
Filed under: uncultured bacterium
Lineage: Bacteria
Description: partial 16S ribosomal RNA
Rfam family: Bacterial small subunit ribosomal RNA
Source: RNAcentral
AUACGGAGGAUCCGAGCGUUAUCCGGAUUUAUUGGGUUUAAAGGGUGCGCAGGCGGGAGAUUAAGUCGGCGGGGAAAUUUUGCAGCUCAACUGUAAAAGUGCCUUCGAAACUGGUUUCCUUGAGUGUAGAUGAAGUAGGCGGAAUUUGUGGGGUAGCGGUGAAAUGCAUAGAUAUCACGAGGAACUCCGAUUGCGCAGGCAGCUUACUAAACUACUACUGACGAUCAGGCACGAAGGCGUGGGGAUCAAACAGGAUUAGAUACCCUGGUAGUCCACGCAGUAAACGAUGAUUACUAGCUGUUUGCGAUACAAUGUAAGCGGCUGAGCGAAAGCGUUAAGUAAUCCACCUGGGGAGUACGUUCGCAAGAAUGAAACUCAAAUGAAUUGACGGGG